UGGGUCGAUGCCCGAGCGGUUAAUGGGGACGGACUGUAAAUUCGUUGACGAUAUGUCUACGCUGGUUCAAAUCCAGCUCGUUCCAG
Molecule: transfer RNA, 86 nt
Filed under: Yoania squamipes
Lineage: Eukaryota; Viridiplantae; Streptophyta; Magnoliopsida; Asparagales; Orchidaceae
Description: tRNA-Tyr
Rfam family: tRNA
About the family: Transfer RNA (tRNA) molecules are approximately 80 nucleotides in length. Their secondary structure includes four short double-helical elements and three loops (D, anti-codon, and T loops). Further hydrogen bonds mediate the characteristic L-shaped molecular structure. tRNAs have two regions of fundamental functional importance: the anti-codon, which is responsible for specific mRNA codon recognition, and the 3' end, to which the tRNAs corresponding amino acid is attached (by aminoacyl-tRNA synthetases). tRNAs cope with the degeneracy of the genetic code in two manners: having more than one tRNA (with a specific anti-codon) for a particular amino acid; and 'wobble' base-pairing, i.e. permitting non-standard base-pairing at the 3rd anti-codon position.
Source: RNAcentral